Bos taurus (domestic cattle) is the source of this 312-nucleotide long non-coding RNA. The record is from Ensembl. NCBI's taxonomy places the organism in Eukaryota, Metazoa, Chordata, Mammalia, Artiodactyla, Bovidae.
GUCGGUCCCUCUUGACUCAGUGCUGUCUGGGAAUGCAGUAGCCAGCUUGGCAAGGGUGGGGCUCGUCACCUCCCUAGACACAGAGGUGACAUGAUGGUGUCACACAGUCUUGUGGUGGUAAAGAUCUGAGGCUUGGUGUUGUAAAACAGCGACCCCAAGGAGAAAGUUUGUGUUUCCAUGUACAUCACAGCCUGUCACCUCCCCACCCUGUGCUCAGGGCGCUGGGGUUACUGAGCAUCCUUCCCGAAAACUCAAAGACUUGCUGCCUUCGGCUCAACCCAGACCAGACUGACAGCUGGUUCGCCUUUGAAG